RNAcentral lists this ribosomal RNA (253 nucleotides) under uncultured bacterium. RNAcentral describes it as "partial 16S ribosomal RNA". It matches the Rfam family "Bacterial small subunit ribosomal RNA", at positions 524 to 776 of the family's 1533-position model. The record is from RNAcentral.
UACGUAGGGUGCAAGCGUUGUCCGGAAUUAUUGGGCGUAAAGAGCUCGUAGGCGGUCUGUCACGUCGGCUGUGAAAACUCGCGGCUCAACUUCGAGCUGGCGGUCGAUACGGGCUGGCUAGAGUUCGGCAGGGGAGACUGGAAUUCCUGGUGUAGCGGUGAAAUGCGCAGAUAUCAGGAGGAACACCGGUGGCGAAGGCGGGUCUCUGGACGGAUACUGACGCUGAGGCGCGAAAGCGUGGGGAGCAAACAGG